Non-coding RNA from Salmo salar (Atlantic salmon), 73 nucleotides. NCBI's taxonomy places the organism in Eukaryota, Metazoa, Chordata, Actinopteri, Salmoniformes, Salmonidae. The record is from Rfam.
GGGCCAGUGGCGCAAUGGAUAACGUGUCUGACUACGGAUCAGAAGAUUCUACGUUCGACUCCUGGCUGGCUCG